Molecule: ribosomal RNA, 434 nt
Filed under: uncultured bacterium
Lineage: Bacteria
Description: partial 16S ribosomal RNA
Rfam family: Bacterial small subunit ribosomal RNA
Source: RNAcentral
AGCGAACGCUGGCGGCAGGCCUAACACAUGCAAGUCGAACGAACCUUUCGGGGUUAUUGGCGGACGGGUGAGUAACACGUGGGAACGUGCCUUUAGGUUCGGAAUAACUCAGGGAAACUUGUGCUAAUACCGAAUGUGCCCUUCGGGGGAAAGAUUUAUCGCCUUUAGAGCGGCCCGCGUCUGAUUAGCUAGUUGGUUGAGGUAAUGGCUCACCAAGGCGACGAUCAGUAGCUGGUCUGAGAGGAUGAUCAGCCACAUUGGGACUGAGACACGGCCCAAACUCAUACGGGAGGCAGCAGUGGGGAAUCUUGCGCAAUGGGCGAAAGACUGACGCAGCCAUGCCGCGUAAAUGAUGAAGGUCUUAGGAUUGUAAAAUUCUUUCAACGGGGACGAUAAUGACGGUACCCGGAGAAGAAGCCCCGGCUAACUUCGUG